RNAcentral lists this ribosomal RNA (730 nucleotides) under uncultured Acidobacteriota bacterium. Its description in RNAcentral is "bacterial SSU rRNA". It matches the Rfam family "Bacterial small subunit ribosomal RNA", at positions 32 to 775 of the family's 1533-position model. The record is from RNAcentral. Lineage: Bacteria; Pseudomonadati; Acidobacteriota.
AACGCUGGCGGCGCGCCUAACACAUGCAAGUCGAGCGAGAAAGUCCCCGCAAGGGGAUGAGUACACCGGCCCACGGGUGAGUAACACGUGGGCAACCUCCCUUCUGGUGGGGGAUAACCCGGGGAAACCUGGGCUAAUACCGCAUAACAUCUUCCCGGGCUGCGGCCUGGGGGAUCAAAGGAGCAAUUCGCCGGAGGAGGGGCCUGCGGCCGAUUAGCUAGUUGGCGGGGUGACGGCCCACCAAGGCAGAGAUCGGUAGCCGGUCUGAGAGGACGCACGGCCACACUGGGACUGAAACACGGCCCAGACUCCUACGGGAGGCAGCAGUGGGGAAUCUUGCACAAUGGGGGAAACCCUGAUGCAGCGACGCCGCGUGAGCGAUGAAGCCCUUCGGGGCGUAAAGCUCUUUCGGUGGGGAAGAUAUGGACGGUACCCGCAAAAGAAGCCCCGGCUAACUACGUGCCAGCAGCCGCGGUAAUACGUAGGGGGCCAGCGUUGUUCGGAAUUACUGGGCGUAAAGGGCGCGUAGGCGGCGCGGCCAGUUCGGUGUGCAAUCUCCCGGCUUAACCGGGAGGGGUCGCCGAGGACGACCGUGCUGGAGUGCGGGAAAGGGGAGUGGAAUUCCCGGUGUAGCGGUGAAAUGCGUAGAGAUCGGGAGGAACACCGGCGGCGAAGGCGGCUCCCUGGACCGCAACUGACGCUGAGGCGCGAAAGCUAGGGGAGCAAACAG